UGGAAUCAAAAUUUUCACUAGAAGUUCGAAAUGUAAAACAAAUAUAUGAAAAGAUUAAAGGUUCAACAUCUAUCAUAUAUAUAAAAAAAAAUAAAAAUUCUAAACAUAUGUAAGUGAUGUAAUUUUUCAUUCAAGAAAGUUCGAAUAAAAUCUCUGGAUCCUUGCUAGUUGCUAGCUCUGCCCCAAGUUUUUUUUCUCU
RNAcentral lists this long non-coding RNA (199 nucleotides) under Solanum tuberosum (potato). Its description in RNAcentral is "long non-coding RNA (STUB_LNC009300)". The record is from RNAcentral. Lineage: Eukaryota; Viridiplantae; Streptophyta; Magnoliopsida; Solanales; Solanaceae.